CCCAAAAUAUUGGCAGCGCAAACUUAGGUUUCUAAAAAUAUAUUUUCAUUUCCAUCGUUUUCCCGCCUGCUUCCCUCCUUUUCGUGCUCCUUCUUCCUCAUCCCUGGUUCCCCUCUUUCUCUUUGUUCUCCUUCUUCCUCAUUCUUGCUCCUCCUCUUGUCCAAUUCCUUGGCGGCAACUCUCUUCCUCGGCGCUGCUUCUCUUCCUCGGCGGCAGAGGCUCGGCAGCCAAACACUCUCCAGUCACUGCACACACAUCACCGGGUAUUGUGCUGCUUCUCUUCUACUUCCCUCAACAGCGCCGCUGCUCUUCCUCAACAGAUUGAUUGAAGAGUAUGAAGGCCAGAUAGAUUCGAAGAUGCAUAUCUGUUUAAUCACAAUUCGUUUGGUCUUUCUAUAUAUUUAUUGUUAUUAUGGAUUGUAUGAUGGGUUCUCUCUUCAAUUUUUUUUUCAGCUUUGAUCUUUUUCAAUACUUCCAUAUCUUCUCAUCUUCCUCCAGAGUAAUAAUAUAUUUGCAGAUAAGUAGAAAAGACGAAGAGUCUCAUUUUUUGAAACACCUUGAUGGCUUGCUUAUCUGAGACAAUUAAGAACAAAUACUCGAAGAUCUUCACACAUUUUAUAACCUCUUUCAACCGCUUUAUGAAUUACUUGUUUGUAUUUCUUCUUAUAGUUAAUGAAGUUUGAUAUCAUUUGUAGGUCAUCGUUGCUGCACUCUUCUGUUUCUGUUCUGUUGCUGCUGGUUGUUGUACCCUCGAUGUUGCUACUAUGCAGUUCCUGGAGUGAAGUUCUUGUUCGCUGUAGCCUCCUGGUUUCUUUCUUGUUUAACCUCCUGGUUUCUUUCUUGUUUGUUUCUUGUUUACAAUGAUAAACCCUCCUGAGCAGUUUCUUUCUUGUUAGCGAAAUCACAAUGAUAAACCCUCAUGGUUUCUUUCUUAUUUACCGGAUCCUACUAGUACACAAUUUUGAGAGAAUUGAGGGACUAAAACUUUCUGAGCAGUUUACAAAAGCACCACUUCAGCAGCUGAUGAUGCCUCAACUAAGGGAGAAGAAAGAAACUGUGUGUAUUGUCCUUUAGGGGGAGGAUUUUUACUAUGUGGUUAUAGCCUUAUAGGACUUAUAAUGGAUUAUUCCAUUAGAUAGCAGUCACAAGGACAAGACAAAAUCAAAUAUAAAAUCUAACAGCCAAAAGGAAUCAGGAAAUAAAGAACGAAACCAGGAAAAUCUUAUACAUUCAGGCAGGAUAGAUCCAUCAAGGGUUGUCCAGCUGUCUUGGCAACCGAGGUCAGGGUCUUUGUUUAUAGAGGUUUUAUCACUGAAGAGGAAUGUGACCAUCUCAUCCCUUUGGCACAUGGACAGAAAGAAGGUACUAACUCUGUGAUCAGUGACACCCAAGGAGUGAGUGCAAGAUCAUUAGUCACUCUAGAUCUGAAGAUGAAUUCGUUGCAACAUGGACUCUUCUUCUUCUAGAGAAUAGUAGGUCACUACAAGUUCUGCAUUAUGGGAAUGAAGAAUCAGAACAUAAAUAUGACUAUUUUGGGAAUCAAUUGGCUUGACAUGUUACUGAACCUUUGAUGGCAACUGUCAUUUUUUUUUUUCAGAUGUUUCUCGGGGUGGUGAGAUCUCAUUUCCUGAGUCACAGGUACGUAAAAAUCCGAGGGAGGAGCCUUUCAGGAUUGAAGAGAUAAAUGAUGUUCGAGAUUGUCUUUGAUAUUUUCUUGUAGUGAAUUUUAGUAUUGUCUUUGAUAUUUCCUUGUAAUAAAUUUUAGGUUAUGGAUGCUAGUUUUUUUAUGAUUGUAUUGUAAUCGAGUUUUUUACUGUACAAUUUAAUUAUCUAUAUAAUUGAGUAAUGUUUUAUAUUA
Spinacia oleracea (spinach) is the source of this 1858-nucleotide long non-coding RNA. RefSeq lists it as uncharacterized. NCBI's taxonomy places the organism in Eukaryota, Viridiplantae, Streptophyta, Magnoliopsida, Caryophyllales, Amaranthaceae. The record is from RefSeq and is a predicted model, not a curated record. The transcript has 9 exons.